Long non-coding RNA from Parus major (Great Tit), 1150 nucleotides. The record is from Ensembl. NCBI's taxonomy places the organism in Eukaryota, Metazoa, Chordata, Aves, Passeriformes, Paridae.
AUAGAGGGUCCAAAUAACAGACCCUGCUCUUGGGAAAGUCUGCUGCUUCCCCUAGCCUAGGUUAAGGACAUCACUGGGAAACUUCCUGAUCUGGUAUGGCCCUUGGAGUAUUGCCGGUUGCUGCUUUUCCUUGUGGGUGGUGAUGAAACCACAAGGUACAGUCCAGAGUUAAUCUAAAGUGUCUUCAGAGUCUUGGCACAAUUGGGGAGGGAAUCUGGAACACAGGUCACAUUUUCCUUCCAGCCACAGGAAGCAACAUUGGAAGAAAUAGAUGGGCCCAGUGUGUUAAUACCUGACUGAGAUGUGCUGACAAUGCUGCAGCACACUGGAAGAUUUACAGAGAAGAGCCAGGUGUUCCUCAGAUGAUAGAACUCACCACGGAAACUACUGGUACAUUACUAGUCCAUAACAAAAAAGAGCGUUCUUUGAUCCUCCUUUGAUCCAGUGAAGAUUCUGGGAUGCCAUGAUGGCUGCUUGUAGUUCCACUAGUAUUUUGGGUGGACUUGAACACCCCUUGGAAGUGAAAUCCAGAAAACAAACCAGUCUGGAACAAAGUAGGAAAAAAUGGUAUGGGGGAAAUUAAUAACCAUAGGAAGAGGACCAACAGCUAUCCUUUUUUGCCAGGUUCUUACACAAAAUGUGCACAAACUCCUACAAAUCUAGAGUUUUAAAAUUUAAUAUUCCAAUAUGCUUUUAUAAAGUACAUAAAAGGGUUGUGUACAUGUGUCUAGCAUAACCUGAUAUGGAGAAGAAAGACGACUGUUUUAAGCCUUCUUCUCUAGUGAAUGGUACCAAAGACCUCACUGAAAAUCACAGUCCUUCUGGAGGCUGUGACAGGAGGGAGUCUUUCUGAUGUGGAAUAUGGGAAUGUGAUCUCAGUUAUGGCUUAAUUCUUUUGUUUGUAGCCUGAGUGAUAAUAGAUAUGAAAGAAGGAGUUGAAAAGAAGUUUAAAGGAAUGAAUGAAUGAGUGAAGAUUUGUUUUUUCCCAAAAUGUGUUUAGGCUUCAUGAUUUUCUAUUUAUUUCUAUGUAAAUUAUGAAUUAAAGGUAGGAAGCUUAGGAGCAUGUAGCAGAGGGAGAGAUAAGCAGAAUAUUUAGCUAAACAAUCUGGAAAUUAAUAAAACACAUACCAAAACAAUUUUUGUAUCUAUU